Mytilus californianus (California mussel) is the source of this 2746-nucleotide long non-coding RNA. RefSeq lists it as uncharacterized. The transcript is spliced from 2 exons. The record is from RefSeq and is a predicted model, not a curated record. NCBI's taxonomy places the organism in Eukaryota, Metazoa, Mollusca, Bivalvia, Mytilida, Mytilidae.
AUAGAGGAUAUGGUACUGUUAUGUCAUAUGCAAUUAGUAUUGAUUUUCAUGUAACAAAUACUUUUCAGAAAUUAGUUUUUCAUCUACAGUUUGUUUGACACUGAAUCGAACCCUUUGUGAAUAAAAUAUGAUCGGGUUGGUAAUCUUCAAACUGCAGCAUAUGUUUCCCAAGGUUAUACUUGUAUACAUUUUAUUACAUGUCGGUUAGUCAUCAGUACCGUGUUUGCAGCCUUACUGUGAAUGUCGUAGCCAAAGAAAGGAAGCCAUUUGUACAAAUCUGACUAUUAUACCUAGACUUCCAGAUUACGUUAAAAAUGUUUACUUUAGAGGAAACAAAUUCACAAAUGUGUCAAAAAACUUUAUGCUUAACGUAACAAAAAGUGAAAUACGUCAUAUCUCAUUAGUAGAUAAUUCGAUCGAGCAUUUUUCAAGGGAUGCAUUUUAUGACCUGAAAUGGAUAAGAAACUUUGAGAUAUCAGCGGAACCACAAGUAUAUAAUUUGGACGUACGCUCUGCCUUUUUUAAGUUCAAAAGGGACAGCCUUGACAAAGUCAGAUUCGAAGACAACAAUUGGAAAACACUACCGCCAGAUUUAUUUUUUGGCCAGACAAAUUUAACCGAAGCGUCUUUUUCGGGAAAUGCUUUUGUAGUAUUUUCACCUUUACAAAAGUUAUGAUUGUUAAAUAUGUCUAGAAAUAGUUUGUCCACGUUCAACCUUCAAGGACAAUGUACACUUAAAAUAGCAGAUCUAAGCAAAAACUAUAUUGACGAAUUUCAAAAUUUCUGUUGUGGUACGUGCGAUAAAUUUUGUUGUCAAUCACAUGGAUGUAAAAGCAUAUCUCCAAAUCUACGGGUAUUGGAUCUAGGUUCUAGUUCCCUGUCUAUCCUUGAAUCGUCCUAUUUUUAUUGUUUACCUAGUUUGGAAAUCCUGAUAUUAAAUUCCAACCGUUUUGAAUCCAUUAAUGAUAUCUUUGUUGUUUUGCCUAGUUUUCAGAAACUCUAUAUAGAAAAAAAUCAACAAGUCACAACAACUGGAUCCACUGCUUUUAAUAUUUCAUCUCUAAGACUGUUGUCAUAAGAAGAUAAUAAUUUUCGUUUUGAUACAAAGCUUGAUAUACAUAAUUUUGAUCGAAAUAGUAUUUUUAAGUAUUUUUUUAAAUUUGGAAGUUCUAAACUUAGGGAAUAACUAUUUGGCCUCAGACAGUAAUACGUCAGUUCUACUAUUCAAACAUUUAUCAAAUUUAACGACUUUAAACCUUAAGAAUAUGCGACUCAAUAAACUUCCAACUGGCAUAUUUUCAAAAAUGGUAUCAUCGGAAAGUCUUAACUUGCAAGGGAAUAUUAUACGAUACUGGUUUGAUGGUACUUUUCAUAAUUUUAUAAACUUAAAGUAUUUAAAUCUGCAAAAAACAUUAAAUUCAACUGAUAAAUAAAACAUCAAUAAAAUCUGAAGUUUUACAACGACUGCUUCAGUUUGAUCUUUCAAACAAUCCUCGUUAAUGUGUACUUGUGGUCUCAUGUGGUUACGUAAUUGGAUUAAAAAAACCCAACGCUUUGUUUCUGUCUAACUAUCCACAAGGGUACAAAUGUGCGUUUCCAGAAAACCUACAGGAUACUCUUCUAGAAGAAUAUAAUCCAACGGAAGUAAUAUGUAUUCCAUGGAAUCCACUUUUGACAAUGGCAUUAGUUUUAUCCACUUCUGGAUUUUUCAUACUAGUUUCGAUGUGUUCUGUCUACAAAUGUCACACUAACAUUCGGAACUAUCUUUACUUAUUCCAUCUACAUCGUUUGCAAAAGGAUGGUUUUUUACAAUUAGACAAUAGUGAAGACUUUGCAUUCCAUGCUUUUGUUGUUUAUUGCAAUGCAGAUAGAGAAUGGGUCCAUGCAACGUUUGUUAAACGAAUUGAACAUGAAGGUGUAAGGCUUUGCAUUCAUCGUCGUAAUUUUGAUGUCGGUGUUCCAAUUUCAGAAAAUGUUGACAAAUACAUGAAAGAGUCGUGGAAAGUCGUUAUAAUAAUGAGUAAUGAUUUCGCCGAAAGCGAGUGGUGUCAAUGGGAAUGUGAUUGUGUGCAGGAACGCAGACGUCACCAUGGAAAAGAUGCAUGUGUUUUAAUCAUGCUUUGAACUAUUGAUGCUAAUCACAUGACCAGUUCUAUCAAAACUUUGUUACAAUCCAUUUCAUAUUUAAGAUUCAAAGAGAGAGUUGGAGAGGAAAUAUUCUGGCAGGCGAUAACUGAUGCGCUCCGGAAACCACUAAGUGUUCCUCCUAUGGCAAUAUGACUGUUAAUCUAUACAUAUGAAGUUGAUAAACAUUGGAUGUUUGAUGUGUACGGAUUGAUAAUUUAGUCUUAGAUGCAUGAUUUUUUUUUAUUAGUUGUUAGUGGCUUUGAACUAGCUGUCAGUAACUGCGAGUACUCUCAGAUCUGUACUUAAUGUCUUUUUGUUGUUUGGAGGUAUAAGUACCCGGCCACGUCCACUUGUAUUUGUAGUAUUUGUAUUUUUAUCCAUCUGAUGAGUUAAGCCUCUUUCAACUGAUUUUCAUAGUUCGUUCUUAUGUUGUACUGUUACACCACUGUCCCAGGUUAGCGGGAGGGUUGGGAUCCCGCUAACAUGUUUAACCCCGCCACAUUCUGUAUGUAUGUGCCUGUCUCAAGUCAGGAGCCUGUAAUUCAGUGGUUGUCGUUUGUUUAUGUGUUACAUAUUUGUUUUUCUUUCAUUUUUUGUACAUAAAUUAGGCCGUUAGUUU